UCUCCGUAGGUGAACCUGCGGAGGGAUCAUUACAGAGUUCAUGCCCUACCGGGUAGAUCUCCCACCCUAUGUUAUUAUUACUUUGUUGCUUUGGCGGGCCGUUAGGCUCCGGCCCGACUACCGGCCCCGGCUGGUAAGCGCCCGCCAGAGGACCCAAAACCCUGAAUAUUAGUGUCGUCUGAGUACUAUAUAAUAGUUAAAACUUUCAACAACGGAUCUCUUGGUUCGG
Molecule: unclassified non-coding RNA, 229 nt
Filed under: plant metagenome
Description: partial contains small subunit ribosomal RNA, internal transcribed spacer 1, and 5.8S ribosomal RNA
Source: RNAcentral